CACGCAGGCGGUUUGUUAAGUCAGAUGUGAAAUCCCCGGGCUCAACCUGGGAACUGCAUUUGAAACUGGCAAGCUAGAGUCUCGUAGAGGGGGGUAGAAUUCCAGGUGUAGCGGUGAAAUGCGUAGAGAUCUGGAGGAAUACCGGUGGCGAAGGCGGCCCCCUGGACGAAGACUGACGCUCAGGUGCGAGAGCGUGGGGAGCAAACA
RNAcentral lists this ribosomal RNA (207 nucleotides) under uncultured bacterium. Its description in RNAcentral is "partial 16S ribosomal RNA". It matches the Rfam family "Bacterial small subunit ribosomal RNA", at positions 568 to 774 of the family's 1533-position model. The record is from RNAcentral.